AGUGAACGCUGGCGGUAGGCCUAACACAUGCAGGUCGAACGGCAGCACAGUAAGAGCUUGCUCUUACGGGUGGCGAGUGGCGGACGGGUGAGGAAUACAUCGGAAUCUACUUUUUCGUGGGGGAUAACGUAGGGAAACUUACGCUAAUACCGCUUACGACCUACGGGUGAAAGCAGGGGAUCUUCGGACCUUGCGCGAUUGAAUGAGCCGAUGUCGGAUUAGCUAGUUGGCGGGGUAAAGGCCCACCAAGGCGACGAUCCGUAGCUGGUCUGAGAGGAUGAUCAGCCACACUGGAACUGAGACACGGUCCAGACUCCUACGGGAGGCAGCAGUGGGGAAUAUUGGACAAUGGGCGCAAGCCUGAUCCAGCCAUACCGCGUGGGUGAAGAAGGCCUUCGGGUUGUAAAGCCCUUUUGUUGGGAAAGAAAAGCAGCAGGUUAAUACCCCGCUGUUCUGACGGUACCCAAAGAAUAAGCACCGGCUAACUUCGUG
This 492-nucleotide ribosomal RNA is filed under the name uncultured bacterium. RNAcentral describes it as "partial 16S ribosomal RNA". It matches the Rfam family "Bacterial small subunit ribosomal RNA", at positions 29 to 507 of the family's 1533-position model. The record is from RNAcentral.